GCCAGCAGCCGCGGUAAAACGUAGGGGGCGAGCGUUAUCCGGAAUUAUUGGGCGUAAAGCGCGCGCAGGCGGCUUAGUAGGUUGGACGUGAAAGCUCCUGGCUCAACUGGGAGAGGUCGUUCAAUACCGCUAGGCUUGAGGGCGGAAGAGGGGAGUGGAAUUCCCGGUGUAGUGGUGGAAUGCGUAGAUAUCGGGAGGAACACCAGUGGCGAAAGCGGCUCCCUGGUCCGCAUCUGACGCUCAUGUGCGAAAGCGUGGGGAGCGAACGGGAUUAGAUACCCCGGUAGUCCACGCUGUAAACGAUGGAUGCUAGGUGUGGGAGGUCUUGACCCCUUCUGUGCCGUAGCUAACGCGUUAAGCAUCCCGCCUGGGGACUACCGGCGCAAGGUUAAAACUCCAAGGAAUUGACCGGGGCC
RNAcentral lists this ribosomal RNA (416 nucleotides) under uncultured bacterium. Its description in RNAcentral is "bacterial SSU rRNA". It matches the Rfam family "Bacterial small subunit ribosomal RNA", at positions 507 to 921 of the family's 1533-position model. The record is from RNAcentral.